ACAAACUUGGUCAUUUAGAGGAAGUAAAAGUCGUAACAAGGUAACCGUAGGUGAACCUGCGGUUGGAUCAUUACCAAUUUUCUAUAUUCCUUUUCUCUCUCUCCACACUACUCUCUUACUCUUGAGUUUUAGAGUGGUGUGCAAGAGGAAAAGAAAUAUUUAAACACACUGUGAACUUGUAAUCGUUUUUUUGGUGGUUCCUUGGAGGAGAUGGGAUUUUUUUCUUCUUCUUCUCCUUGCAUCCAAGCGGUGCGGUCCACCAAAAGGGACCCUCUCAUUACCAGAGGGUUUCAAUUUUAAACACUUCAAAUUACUCUUCUCUAGUCUUUUAUUUUACUUUGUUCUCUCUUCUUUUCUCAUUCCUUUGGAGUAAGAAAAAGGGAAGCAAAUUAUUAAGCCAAUUGAGAAACAACUUUUAACAACGGAUCUCUUGGCUCUCGCAUCGAUGAAGAACGCAGC
This 459-nucleotide unclassified non-coding RNA is filed under the name uncultured fungus. RNAcentral describes it as "partial contains small subunit ribosomal RNA, internal transcribed spacer 1, and 5.8S ribosomal RNA". The stretch from base 1 to 73 matches the Rfam family "Eukaryotic small subunit ribosomal RNA", at positions 1759 to 1831 of the family's 1831-position model. The record is from RNAcentral. Lineage: Eukaryota; Fungi.